This 291-nucleotide small nuclear RNA is filed under the name Jaculus jaculus (lesser Egyptian jerboa). RNAcentral describes it as "7SK RNA (ENSJJAG00000001587.1)". It matches the Rfam family "7SK RNA". Rfam says of the family: 7SK was discovered as an abundant small nuclear RNA in the mid-70s but a possible function has only recently been suggested. Two independent studies have found that 7SK RNA binds the CDK9/cyclin T complex (known as elongation factor P-TEFb). The record is from Rfam by way of RNAcentral. Lineage: Eukaryota; Metazoa; Chordata; Mammalia; Rodentia; Dipodidae.
GGGAGGGCGAGCUGGCUGCCACAUGUGUCACCCCACCGACCGCCAGGGUUGACUCUGCUAAUCUGGCUGGCUAGGGGGUGACCCCUUCCUCCCCAGCGCCCCAUGCGCUCUCCUGAAGCUGCAGAGCUGCUUGUUCUUUGAAGAGCACGGCCGUCCCAAACAGAGGAGGCCUGGUCUGUGGUCAAGGGUGUAAGCGAACUGCGCCUCCCUGCUGGAACCGCCCAGCAAGCGCUCAAGGACAGAGUUGGCUCUAAACUCUAGUGAAUGUCUUCUGGAAGACACAUGUUGACA